GGGGGCGACACGGUUUCGACGGAGGAAGUAGUGGCAGGAGUAGCGAGCCGGGAUUUCAUCCACCCCGUUAAACGGUGAAAAGGCUUAUAGUUGCCGACGAAAACUAUGCAAUGGCUGCCUAACUUAGGUUAAGGUAUCCCAUCCAGCCCAUCUAAGCCUGCGUGGUGGAAUCUGGGUGUCAAAUUAGCGGGCUUACCCUUAGGCCGACUCUCGUAAGCACAAGGGGACAUUUAACGAGAUAGAUCCUGCGAAGCCCGGUUGUGGGCGUCAAUGGAUCGAAAUCUAAAGCACAGCCUGCGCUCGGAGAGACUCCUGUGGCGUUUCUUUCGGACGGUGGGUUCGACUCCCCCCGCCUCCACCA
RNAcentral lists this transfer-messenger RNA (361 nucleotides) under Bacillota bacterium. It matches the Rfam family "transfer-messenger RNA". Rfam says of the family: Bacterial tmRNA, also known as 10Sa RNA or SsrA, is named for its dual tRNA and mRNA-like properties. Its role is to liberate the mRNA from a stalled ribosome. The record is from RNAcentral. RNAcentral also lists the same sequence under 1 other name. Lineage: Bacteria; Bacillati; Bacillota.